This 718-nucleotide long non-coding RNA is filed under the name Fukomys damarensis (Damara mole-rat). Its description in RNAcentral is "lncRNA (ENSFDAG00000025013.1)". Lineage: Eukaryota; Metazoa; Chordata; Mammalia; Rodentia; Bathyergidae. The record is from RNAcentral.
CAGGUAGCCAGAAAGGUUUAAGGGAAAGAGCUUUGGCAUCACAUGAACUUGGGUUUUGAAACUCAGCUCUGUUACUCACUACCCAGUGUGAUCCUGGGCAAGUUUACCUCCUGUCUGAGAAACAGCUCCUGGUCAGAGAUGAGACCCACUGAGUAGUAACAGAAGAAGCUGGGCUCAUGCAGGACUUAGUACAGUGGCCCAUAAUAAGCAUUGUGCAAAUGGUAGCUCUCACAAUAGAAGGGACCUGACUGACAGUAGGAACUGUUUAAUCCCAUUUUUCCAAUUCUAGGUUGGGUACCCCCAUCAACUUCCAUGAACCCUUAAAGAGGGAUGGCCAAAGAAUUCAGAUGUUGCUUUCCCACCAUUCCACACAUUGGCCUCUCAAAGAAUGUAGCUGUGGUCCUCACAACCUAGUCUUCCUGUUUAAGAAUGUCACUUUGUCAUCACAAACCCGAUCUUCCUACUGAAGCAAGAUGCCUUCUGAACAAGUAGACUCAGAAACACUUUGCCACAGGGUGAUGUCAGCUCCAGCCGUCCUAUUGAAAACCUGCGGGAGUCCUCAUGGGAAGUCCGCACGCAGGGCUUUGGGUACCGUUCUGCAUAUGAGUCUUGGGAGUUUGUGAUUAACAGGUCACGCCUACUUCUCCAGCCAGCUUUGCCGCACCCUAAUCUGUCUCAGGGCUCUUUCUAGGAGAUUUUUUUUAUUACAUUGGCAACA